RNAcentral lists this ribosomal RNA (445 nucleotides) under uncultured bacterium. RNAcentral describes it as "partial 16S ribosomal RNA". It matches the Rfam family "Bacterial small subunit ribosomal RNA", at positions 354 to 796 of the family's 1533-position model. The record is from RNAcentral.
GUGAGGAAUAUUGGUCAAUGGACGGAAGUCUGAACCAGCCAUGCCGCGUGCAGGAAUAAGGUCCUAUGGAUUGUAAACUGCUUUUAUUCGGGAAUAAACCUCUUUACGUGUAGGGAGCUGAAGGUACCGAAGGAAUAAGCACCGGCUAACUCCGUGCCAGCAGCCGCGGUAAUACGGAGGGUGCAAGCGUUAUCCGGAAUCACUGGGUUUAAAGGGUACGUAGGCGGUUAAUUAAGUCAGUAGUGAAAGACUGUCGCUCAACGACGGAUGUGCUAUUGAUACUGGUUAACUUGAAUCAGGUUAGAGUUGGCGGAAUGGGUCAUGUAGCGGUGAAAUGCUUAGAUAUGACUUGGAACACCGAUAGCGAAGGCAGCUGACUGAGCCUUGAUUGACGCUGAGGUACGAAAGUGUGGGUAGCGAACAGGAUUAGAAACCCGGGUAGUCC